GAUGAAGAACGUAGCGAAAUGCGAUAAGUAAUGUGAAUUGCAGAAUUCCGUGAAUCAUCGAAUCUUUGAACGCACAUUGCGCCCCCUGGCAUUCCGGGGGGCAUGCCUGUCCGAGCGUCAUUUCUGCCCUCAAGCACGGCUUGUGUGUUGGGUGUGGUCCCCCCGGGGACCUGCCCGAAAGGCAGCGGCGACGUCCGUCUGGUCCUCGAGCGUAUGGGGCUCUGUCACUCGCUCGGGAAGGACCUGCGGGGGUUGGUCACCACUAUAUUUUACCACGGUUGACCUCGGAUCAGGUAGGAGUUACCCGCUGAACUUAAGCAUAUCAAUCAGCGGAGGA
This 337-nucleotide unclassified non-coding RNA is filed under the name soil metagenome. Its description in RNAcentral is "partial contains 5.8S ribosomal RNA, internal transcribed spacer 2, and large subunit ribosomal RNA". The stretch from base 1 to 120 matches the Rfam family "5.8S ribosomal RNA", at positions 35 to 154 of the family's 154-position model. The record is from RNAcentral.